Aquila chrysaetos chrysaetos is the source of this 1702-nucleotide long non-coding RNA. RefSeq lists it as uncharacterized. The transcript has 3 exons. The record is from RefSeq and is a predicted model, not a curated record. Lineage: Eukaryota; Metazoa; Chordata; Aves; Accipitriformes; Accipitridae.
CCCCGAGGCUGUGGGGGUGGGCAGGCGAUAUGGUGGGGGCCCCAUCCAGCUCUUGCAGCUGCUUGCGGCGCAGGAGCCUCCCUGGGGACCCCGAGUGUUUCUCUCCGCCGCUCAGUGCAAGGUUUGACCUUCGCUUCCUUCCUCCACCCACACGCCCUCCGCUUUCCAGCCGCCACUGUCCCGCAUCCUCUGGCUUUCCAGAGAGUUUGGAUCACAGGCUUCAAAUCCCUCUUUCCCCUUCCACCUCCCUCCCACACCCCAGCGAGCGAACACCGAGGGAGGUGGGAAAAUAAAACACACUAGAGAGAUUAUUUCCCUAGAGUGACAGGCUCCCGCUGCAGCUCGGAUUCGUUGAGAAGAGUGAAGGGAAAUCCCGGUGGAGGAGGCGGCACCCGAGAGUGAGGAGGAGGAGGAGGAGGAAGAGGAAGGCUUUACUAGGCGUUAGGCGAAGGCAGGGGUUAGGCUUUGCAGCUCCAGAUGGCGAAGGGGAAGAUGAUGUAGGACAUCGACCAGGCGAGGCAAUAGAUGGAAGCCACUGCCGGUGGCGCGAAGAGGACGGCUGCCACGCCUGCGGAUUAGGAAAAGCCUUUGGGAUCUGCUCCUUCCUCCUCUGCCGCCAUCUCGGUGGGUUUAAUUACCCCCGCCUUGAUUUUGUCCCCAUCCUUACCUCCAGCGUAAACCAAUUUCUUCCAGAGCUGGGACUCCAGCACCUUGUCGUGGGGAUAGAAACCCUGAUCGACCAUGAAGAGGAUCAUGACGAUGGCAGUGACACGCAGCAGGGUGACGUUACCCCCUGUCAGCAAGAAGGUGCCCGCCAGCAGCGAGGAGGCGUAGGGACAGGGCAGCCCCCGGCUGCAGAGGACGGAGGAGAGCCCCGCCACCAAAUUGGCCACGGAGAGCCCGUUAGCAGCGUUUUUCCGGAUGAACUCCAGGGUCUGACCCUGGCCAGCUCGCUCGCUCAGGAACAGCUUCUUCGUGGACUGGAAAAUACCUGCAACCCGCCGAGGCGGCCGGUGAAGGGCAGAACCAACGGCCGCUUCCAACUGGGGAGUUACUUAAACCCUCCCCGAGGUAGCAGGUCAGUGCUGGGGAGGGGGGGACAAAGCCCCGCAGCACCCCCCCCUUCCAGCGCUGGAAGGGGGCUGGAGGAGAUUUUGGGGGGUGCUGCUGAUGGCAGGAGCCUUGCUGGCUGUUCCCCUCCUCAAACCAAAACCCCCAAAAGCCUUUUAGCAAGCGGUGGGAUAUUUUGGGGGGUGUUUUGGUUUGGGGUUUUUUUGCAAGCCCUGCCUCUUAUCUACCCGCCGGAGGUGAAAAUAAAACCAAUAAAAGAAUCACAAAAAUUUAAAAAAAAGAAGAAAAAUAAAUCCAAACCCAAGCUUAGACUAAAAGCCAACCCCGGUUUUAAGCUCUAUUGAUCUUAUAUACCUAUAGGGCUAAGCUUUAGAGAAAGAGUUUAAGGGUCAUGUCCUACUAGUGGGCUUUGCACCCUGCCUUUGCCGUGGUCCCAAAGCCAGGCAAGCUGGUGAGAUCCUUCAUCUGAAAGAAAACAGCACGUCAGAGCAAAACAAAAGCCACCCCCUCCCUUGCCCACCCCCCCUUUACCCGCUCCCGGCUGAGCCUGGGCCAACUCAUCACCGUCGCGGCAUCGAAAUGCCGCCGAAAACAGUUCCCGAGGUGUAAAAAAUAAAAUUAAAAAAACGCC